This is a long non-coding RNA of Phasianus colchicus (ring-necked pheasant), 1555 nucleotides long. NCBI's taxonomy places the organism in Eukaryota, Metazoa, Chordata, Aves, Galliformes, Phasianidae. The record is from Ensembl.
GGGGUGCUGUGGGUCUCUAUGGGGUCUCUAUGGGUCUCUAUGGGGCACUAUGGGGUGCUGUGUGUCCCUAUGGGUCUCUAUGGGGUCCUGUGGGUCUCUAUGGGGCACUAUGGAAUCUCUAUGGGGUCCUGUGGGUCUCUAUGGGGUCUCUAUGGGGCACUAUGGGGUGCUGUGGGGUCUCUAUGGGGUGCUGUGGGGUUUCUAUGGGGCACUAUGGAAUCUCUAUGGGGUGCUGUGGGUCUCUAUGGGGUCUCUAUUGGGCACUAUGGGGUCUCUAUGGGGCACUGUAGGUCCCUAUGGGGUCUCUAUGGGGCACUAUGGGGUGCUAUGGGGUCUCUAUGGGGUGAUGUGGGUCUCUAUGGGGUCUCUAUGGGGCACUGCAGGUCUCAAUGGGGCACUGUAGGUCCCCAUGGGGUGUCUAUGGGGCACUAUGGGGUCUCUAUGGGGUCUCCAUGGAUCUCUAUUCCCCUACAUCCCUAUGGGGCUCCUAUAUACCACUAUAGGGUCCCUAUAGAUCCUUAUGGGGUCCCCAUGUGUUCCUAUACACUGCUAUAGGGUCCCGAUACGUCCCUGUAGGGAUCCUAUAUGUCCCUAUAUGUCUCUAUACGGAUCCUAUAUGGCCUUAUAAGGAUCCUAUAUAUCCCUGUGGGGUCUCUACAGCUCCCUAUAUGUCCCUAUAGGAUCCCUAUAUGUCCCUAUAAGGAUCCCAUUUAUCGCUAUAGGGUCCCUACAGGUCCCUACAUGUCCCUAUAAGAUCCCCAUAUGUCCCUAUAAGGAUCCCAUAUGUCCCUAUAGGGUCCCUACAGCUCCCUAUAUGUCCCUAUACGAAUCCUAUGCGUCCCUAUAAGGAUCCUAUAUGUCCCUAUGGGGUCCCCAUGUAACCCUUUGUGUCCCUAUGGGGUCCCUAUAUCUCCCUACAAGGAUCCCAUAUGUCCCUAUGGGGUCCCUAUAUGUCCCUACAAGGAUCCCAUAUACCCCUAUGGGGUCCCUACAGGUCCCUAUAUGUCCCUAUAGGUUCCCUAUAUGUCCCUAUAAGGAUCCUAUAUAUCCCUAUGGGGUCUCUACAGCUCCCUAUAUGUCCCUAUAGGAUCCCUGUAUGUCCCUAUCAGGAUCCCAUAUAUCGCUAUAGGGUCCCUACAGGUCCCUACAUGUCCCUAUAAGAUCCCCAUAUGUCCCUAUAAGGAUCCCAUAUAUCCCUGUGGGGUCCCUACAGGUCCCUAUAGGAUCCCUGUAUGUCCCUAUAAGGAUCCCAUAUGUCCCUAUAGGGUCCCUACAGCUCCCUAUAUGUCCCUAUAGGAAUCCUAUGCGUCCCUAUAAGGAUCCUAUAUGUCCCUAUGGGGUCCCCAUGUAACCCUUUGUGUCCCUAUGGGGUCCCUAUAUGUCCCUACAAGGAUCCCAUAUGUCCCUAUGGGGUCCCUAUAUGUCCCCAUAAAGAUCCCAUAUGUCCCUAUAGGGUCCCUACAGGUCCCUACGUGUCCCUGUAGGAUCCCUAUAUGUCCCUAUAAGGAUCCCAUAUAUCGCUAUAAGGUCCCUACGGGUCCCUAUAUGCCCCUAU